CCUACGGGAGGCAGCAGUGAGGAAUAUUGGUCAAUGGGCGCGAGCCUGAACCAGCCAAGUAGCGUGAAGGAUGACUGCCCUACGGGUUGUAAACUUCUUUUAUAAAGGAAUAAAGUGAGGCACGUGUGCCUUUUUGUAUGUACUUUAUGAAUAAGGAUCGGCUAAGUCCGUGCCAGCAGCCGCGGUAAUACGGAGGAUCCGAGCGUUAUCCGGAUUUAUUGGGUUUAAAGGGAGCGUAGAUGGGUUGUUAAGUCAGUUGUGAAAGUUUGCGGCUCAACCGUAAAAUUGCAAUUGAUACUGGCAGUCUUGAGUGCAGUAGAGGUGGGCGGAAGUCGUGGUGUAGCGGUGAAAUGCUUAGAUAUCACGAAGAACUCCGAUUGCGAAGGCAGCACACUGGACUGCAACUGACGCUGAGGCUCGAAGGUGUGGGUAUCGAACAGGAUUAGAUACCCGAGUAGUC
Molecule: ribosomal RNA, 460 nt
Filed under: uncultured bacterium
Lineage: Bacteria
Description: partial 16S ribosomal RNA
Rfam family: Bacterial small subunit ribosomal RNA
Source: RNAcentral